This 492-nucleotide ribosomal RNA is filed under the name uncultured bacterium. RNAcentral's name for it is "partial 16S ribosomal RNA". It matches the Rfam family "Bacterial small subunit ribosomal RNA", at positions 29 to 507 of the family's 1533-position model. The record is from RNAcentral.
AGUGAACGCUGGCGGUAGGCCUAACACAUGCAAGUCGAACGGCAGCACAGUAAGAGCUUGCUCUUACGGGUGGCGAGUGGCGGACGGGUGAGGAAUACAUCGGAAUCUACUUUUUCGUGGGGGAUAACGUAGGGAAACUUACGCUAAUACCGCAUACGACCUACGGGUGAAAGCAGGGGAUCUUCGGACCUUGCGCGAUUGAAUGAGCCGAUGUCGGAUUAGCUAGUUGGCGGGGUAAAGGCCCACCAAGGCGACGAUCCGUAGCUGGUCUGAGAGGAUGAUAAGCCACACUGGAACUGAGACACGGACCAGACUCCUACGGGAGGGAGCAGUGGGGAAUAUUGGACAAUGGGCGCAAGCCUGAUCCAGCCAGACCGCGUGGGUGAAGAAGGCCUUCGGGUUGUAAAGACCUUUUGUUGGGAAAGAAAAGCAGCAGGUUAAUACCCCGCUGUUCUGACGGUACCCAAAGAAUAAGCACCGGCUAACUUCGUG